CUAUGUCUUGUCGUUUUCACUUGGUGCUGGUCAUGUGCCUGCUCUUCUUCUACCAGAGAUAUUUGCUUCAAGAAUCAGAGCAAAAGCAGUUGCUUUGUCAUUAGGAAUGCAUUGGCACUGCCUUUCUCCCUACAAGUCAAAUGAAGUGAAGGAAAUUUUCUUACAUUUAUUUUCAGUACUCUUGAGGAGUACCUAGAGGGUGAUGAUGAGCAAGCUGAUGUUGAUUCCAUCGAUGAGCAGACUGAUGGUGGUUCCAUGGAUGUUGACCACGAGGAGGAGGAUAAUAAUAAAGAGAACGCGGAAGAUAAAAAGAAAACACAUAAGCGGACACGAGGCAUAGUGCGAUUGACGAAGAUCAUAGCAGAUAAAAUUAAAGGAAUCAAACGCCAUUUGAGGUUCAAUAGCAGGGGGCAAUCGAUCAGGACCCCAAACAGAGAGCUUCAAUGCUAUUUAGGAAUGCAAGCCAAAAGUAUGGUGCCAAUUAACAUUGACAAUUGGCGCGAAGUUCCUAAAUCUAUAUUGGACAGCUUAUGGAAGGAUGUCAAUCUAGCUUUCCACCUAGAUGAGAAUAUGCGAAAAAAUAUUAUUGGCUCAGUGGGUAAUAAGUGGAGACAAUUCAAAUGUAAUUUGAACAAGAAGUUUAUAGUCCCUUACCUUAAUGACC
Humulus lupulus (European hop) is the source of this 664-nucleotide long non-coding RNA. RefSeq lists it as uncharacterized. The transcript is spliced from 3 exons. The record is from RefSeq and is a predicted model, not a curated record. Lineage: Eukaryota; Viridiplantae; Streptophyta; Magnoliopsida; Rosales; Cannabaceae.